UCUGCUUCUCUUGUGCUCACUCCUGCUCUGCUCCUACUCCUUCGCAGCUGCCCCCAGGAAGCUUGUCCUGGUGCAGCAGCCACCCCUCGUCCUCAAGUACCACAAUGGCCCGCUCCUUAGGGGUAACUACACCCUGAGCCUGCUCUUCUACGGCCGUUUCUCUGCCGCCCAGCGUUCCAUCGUCGUCGACUUCGUUCGCUCCCUCACCCCCACCGGGGCCUCCCUCCCGCCUCCCUCCGUCGCCUCCUGGUGGCGCACCACCGCCAGCUACGCCGGCGGCGACGUGCACCUCUCUCUCGGCCCGCAGCUGAUGGACGAGUCCUACUCCAAGGGGAAGCUGUUAUCCUCCUCCGACAUGGCCGCGCUGGCCGGAAAGGCGGCGGCCGGGGGCGGCCACCGGGCCAUUGGGGUGGUCGUCACCGACGGCGACGUGGCGGUCGAGGGAUUCUGCUCCAGCCGGUGCGGGACGCACGGGCGGCUCGCGGGCUCCGCCGGGUUCGUCUGGGUGGGCGACUCGGCGAGGCAGUGCCCGGGCCAGUGCGCGUGGCCAUUCCACCAGCCGAUCUACGGGCCGCAGGCGCCGCCGCUGGUGGCGCCCAGCGGCGACGUGGGGAUGGACGGCGUCGUCAUCAACCUGGCGACGCUGCUGGCGGGCGCGGCAACCAACCCCAACGGCGACGGCUACUUCCAGGGGCCGGCGGACGCGCCGCUGGAGGCGGUGACGGCGUGCACGGGGGUGUUCGGCAGCGGGGCGUACCCGGGGUACCCGGGCAAGGUCCUGGUGGACCCCACGAGCGGGGCCAGCUAUAACGCGAGGGGACUCGGAGGGAGGAAGUACCUGCUGCCCGCCAUGUGGGACCCCGUCACGUCCCAGUGCUCCACGUUGGUCUAAAGAUUCGCGCAUCGUGAUCACAGUGGCCUCUCUAGCGUUUAAGGUGGUGUCGUCUCUGUUCGCAGUCUAUACAACUGUUGUAGAAGUG
This 980-nucleotide long non-coding RNA is filed under the name Musa acuminata (dwarf banana). RNAcentral describes it as "long non-coding RNA (MACU_LNC002996)". Lineage: Eukaryota; Viridiplantae; Streptophyta; Magnoliopsida; Zingiberales; Musaceae. The record is from RNAcentral.